AUGGAGGAAUCUGUAAACCAAAUGCAACCACUAAAUGAGAAGCAGAUAGCCAGUUCUGAAGAUGGAUAUGUAUGGCAAGUCACUGACAUGAAUCAGCUACACUGGUUCUUGUGUUUUGGUUCUGAAGGACUUGCAAUUGUUACCAAAUAUAUUACAAAGGGCUGGAAAGAAGUUCAUGAAUUGUAUAAAGAAAAAGCACUUUCGGUGGAGACUGAAAAAUUAUUAAAGUAUCUGGAGGCUGUAGAGAAAGUGAAGCGCACAAAAGAUGAACUGGAAGUAAUUCCUCUAAUAGAAGAACAUAGGUAAGUUAGAGAACAUCUUCUGACAAAUCACUUAAAGUAUAAAGAGGUAUGGAAGGCUUUGUUACAAGAAAUGCCUCUUACUGCAUUACUAAGGAAUCUAGGAAAGAUGACUGCAAAUUCAGUGCUUGAACCAGGAAAUUCGGAAGUAUCAUUAGUUUGUGAAAAACUAUGUAAUGAAAAAUUGUUUAAAAAGGCUCGUAUACAUCCAUUUCAUGUUUUAAUUGCAUUAGAAAUGUACAAGAAAGGUUAUGGGCUCAGAGGAAAACUGAAGUGGUGCCCUGAUGAAGAAAUUUUGAAAGAUUUGCAUGCUGCUUUUUAUAAAACAUUUAAGACAGUUGAGCCAACUAGAAAGCGUUUCUUACUAGCUGUUGAUGUCAGCGCUUCCAUGAACCAGAGUUUUAGGCAGCAUCCUCAAUGCUAGUACAGUUGCUGCAGCCAUGUGCAUGGUUGUCACACAAACAGAAAAAGAUUCUUAUAUAGUUGCUUUUUCAGAUGAAAUGGUACCAUGUCCACUGACUACAGAUAUGACCUUACAACAGGUUUCAAUGGCUAUGAGUCAGAUCCCAGCAGGUGGGACUGAUUGCUCUCUUCCAAUGAUCUGGGCUCAGAAGACAAACACAGCUGCAGAUGUCUUCAUUGUAUUCACUGAUAAUGAGACCUUUGCUGGAAGUGUCCAUCCUGCUAUUGCUCUGAGGGAAUAUCGAAAGAAAAUGGAUAUUCCAGCAAAAUUGAUUGUUUGUGGAAUGACAUCAAAUGGUUUUACCAUUGCAGAUCCAGAUGAUAGAGGCAUGUUGGAUAUGUGUGGCUUUGAUACUGGAGCUUCGGAUGUAAUUCAGAAUUUCGCAUUAGAUGUGAUUUAACCAUAAGCACCAGCAUGAUCUUAGAGGUCCAUUGCCAUUAGUGAUCUCACUAAAAAUAUGCAGCUACUUCCCAGCUAAUCUCAAUCUAAAGAU
Propithecus coquereli (Coquerel's sifaka) is the source of this 1255-nucleotide RNA transcript. It is a transcript of the gene named 60 kDa SS-A/Ro ribonucleoprotein pseudogene, with no coding region annotated. The record is from RefSeq and is a predicted model, not a curated record. The transcript has a single exon. Lineage: Eukaryota; Metazoa; Chordata; Mammalia; Primates; Indriidae.